ACCUAUCAGCUUUCGACGGUAUGGUAUUGGCUUACCGUGGCAGUGACGGUUAACGGGGGAUUAGGGUUCGAUUCCGGAGAGGGAGCCUGAGAAACGGCUACCACAUCUAAGGAAGGCAGCAGGCGCGCAAAUUACCCAAUUCUAACAGCAUAAGAGAGGUAGUGACAAGAAAUAACAAUACAAGGUAAUUAAAUUGCUUUGUAAUUGGAAUGAUAGAAAUUUAAACACUUUUUAAAGUAUCAAUUGGAGGGCAAGUCUGGUGCCAGCAGCCGCGGUAAUUCCAGCUCCAAUAGCGUAUAUUAAAAUUGUUGCAGUUAAAAAGCUCGUAGUUGAAUUUCUGUUAAAAAUAACCGGUCUGCUUUUAUUAAAAGUGGUAUCUUGGUGUGUUUUUAGCAAUAAUGUCCUUUGAAAUGUUUUUUACUUUAUUGUAAUAAGUCAUUAUUUUGAGGAUUUUUACUUUGAGAAAAUUAGAGUGUUUCUAGCAGGCUUACGCUUUUGAAUACUGCAGCAUGGAAUAAUAAGAUAGGAUUUUAGUUCUACAUUAUUGGUUUUAAGAACUAAAUUAAUGAUUGAUAGGGAUAGUUGGGGGCAUUUGUAUUUAACUGUCAGAGGU
This 613-nucleotide ribosomal RNA is filed under the name Hepatozoon sp. RNAcentral describes it as "bacterial SSU rRNA". It matches the Rfam family "Eukaryotic small subunit ribosomal RNA", at positions 310 to 912 of the family's 1831-position model. The record is from RNAcentral. Lineage: Eukaryota; Apicomplexa; Hepatozoidae.